This 1333-nucleotide ribosomal RNA is filed under the name uncultured bacterium. RNAcentral describes it as "16S ribosomal RNA". It matches the Rfam family "Bacterial small subunit ribosomal RNA", at positions 1 to 1361 of the family's 1533-position model. The record is from RNAcentral.
UUCGCCCUUAGAGGUCGAUUCUGGCUCAGGAUGAACGCUGGCGGCGUGCCUAACACAUGCAAGUCGAGCGAUUCUCUUCGGAGAAGAGCGGCGGACGGGUGAGUAACGCGUGGGUAACCUGCCUCAUACACAUGGAUAACAUACCGAAAGGUAUGCUAAUACAAGAUGAUAUAAGAGAUUCGCAUGGAUUUCUUAUCAAAGCUCCGGCGGUAUGAGAUGGACCCGCGUCUGAUUAGCUAGUUGGUAAGGUAACGGCUUACCAAGGCGACGAUCAGUAGCCGACCUGAGAGGGUGAUCGGCCACAUUGGGACUGAGACACGGCCCAGACUCCUACGGGAGGCAGCAGUGGGGAAUAUUGCACAAUGGGGGAAACCCUGAUGCAGCAACGCCGCGUGAGUGAUGACGGCCUUCGGGUUGUAAAGCUCUGUCUUCAGGGACGAUAAUGACGGUACCUGAGGAGGAAGCCACGGCUAACUACGUGCCAGCAGCCGCGGUAAUACGUAGGUGGCGAGCGUUGUCCGGAUUUACUGGGCGUAAAGGGAGCGUAGGCGGAUUUUUAAGUGAGAUGUGAAAUACUCGGGCUUAACCUGAGUGACUGCAUUUCAAACUGGAAGUCUAGAGUGCAGGAGAGGAGAAGGGAAUUCCUAGUGUAGCGGUGAAAUGCGUAGAGAUUAGGAAGAACACCAGUGGCGAAGGCGCUUCUCUGGACUGUAACUGACGCUGAGGCUCGAAAGCGUGGGGAGCAAACAAGAUUAGAUUCCCUGGUAGUCCACGCCGUCAACGAUGAAUACUAGGUGUAGGGGUUGUCAUGACCUCUGUGCCGCCGCUAACGCAUUAAGUAUUCCGCCUGGGGAGUACGGUCGCAAGAUUAAAACUCAAAAGAAUUGACGGGGGCCCGCACAAGCAGCGGAGCAUGUGGUUUAAUUUGAAGCAACGCGAAGAACCUUACCUAGACUUGACAUCUCCUGCAUUACUCUUAAUCGAGGAAGUCCUUUCGGGGACAGGAUGACAGGUGGUGCAUGGUUGUCGUCAGCUCGUGUCGUGAGAUGUUGGGUUAAGUCCCGCAACGAGCGCAACCCCCAUUGUUAGUUGCCAUCAUUAAGUUGGGCACUCUAGCGAGACUGCCCGGGUUAACCGGGAGGAAGGUGGGGAGGACGUCAAAUCAUCAUGCCCCCUAUGUCUAGGGCUACACACGUGCUACAAUGGUCGGUACAAUAAGACGCAAGCCCGCGAGGGGGAGCAAAACUGGAAAACCGAUCUCAGUUCGGAUUGUAGGCUGAAACUCGCCUACAUGAAGCUGGAGUUGCUAGUAAUCGCGAAUCAGCAUGUCGCG